Molecule: ribosomal RNA, 479 nt
Filed under: Busseola sp. BUOUG3860
Lineage: Eukaryota; Metazoa; Arthropoda; Insecta; Lepidoptera; Noctuidae
Description: partial 16S large subunit ribosomal RNA
Source: RNAcentral
UGUCUUUUUGAAGAUAAUUUAAAGUCUAAUCUGCCCACUGAUUUAAUAUUAAAGGGCUGCAGUAUUUUGACUGUACAAAGGUAGCAUAAUCAUUAGUCAUUUAAUUGAUGACUUGUAUGAAAGAUUGGAUGAAAUAUAAUCUGUCUCUUAAUUAGUAAGUAGAAUUUAAUUUUUUGAUUAAAAAGUUAAAAUGGUUUAAAAAGACGAGAAGACCCUAUAGAGUUUUAUAGAUAAAUUAAUUAAUAUUAUUUAUAAAAAUUAAAUUAAAAUUUUUUUUAUUUAUUAUAUUGGGGUGAUAGAAAAAUAUAUCUAACUUUUUUUUUUAUUUAAAACAUUUAUAAGUGAUUAAAUGAUCCAAUAGUAUUGAUUAUAAGAAAAAAUUACCUUAGGGAUAACAGCGUAAUUUUUUUUUUUAGUUCAUAUAAGAAAAAGAGUUUGCGACCUCGAUGUUGGAUUAAGAUAAAAUUUAAAUGUAGAAG